GGACUACCAGGGUAUCUAAUCCUAUUAAUUUCCUAAGCCUUCGUCCUUCAACGUCAGUUUUUACAUAGAAAGUUGCUUUCGCUGUUACCUGUUCCAGUAAGUAUCAUAGUAUUUCAUCACUCCACCAUACUGUACUCCGUAACUCUCUUUUAUAAAACUCUAGUAAAAUUGAUUCCCUUUAGGGUUUAAUCUACCGUCUAAGUACCCUUUAAACCUAUUCAAGAUGAAUAACACUAGUCUUUCACGUAUUACCGCGGCGGCUGGCAC
RNAcentral lists this ribosomal RNA (267 nucleotides) under uncultured bacterium. RNAcentral's name for it is "partial 16S ribosomal RNA". The record is from RNAcentral.